CCUACACUCUAAAAAAAAAAGGUUCCUUGAGGUUCUAUAUAGAACCGUGGGGUUCUAUACUUGGCCAAUAGAACCUUUUACCAAAAAACGGGUUCCAUAUAGAACCCUUGGAAGGCAAAGAACCAUUUUUAUUAAAAUGGUUCUAUAAUUCACGUUUUGUGACUGAAGUGUAAUCUAAAGAUUACACAAUAAUUGCAGACCUACACAACUCAUUUACAAACCUACACAACUCAUUCACAAACCUUUUUGUGUCAAUAGGUUGUGGUCAAAUAAAGAGAGAGUCAACAAAUAGGCUACUAAUAUUUAGUGUACACUGUAAAAAAUCCAACUAAUGAAAUGUUGGACGGGCAAAAAUAUAUAAGUUAAACCAAUUUUUUUGUUUGAGCUAGUUGAGAAGAUCUGUGUUUAAAAUAUUAAAUGAAUGGUUAUUUUCAAAUCCAGUCAAAAUUCAGAAUGGCUAGUGUUGACUGAACUAAUUAAGACAAAUCAGGUAAGUACGUGGAGUUAUGACUAUGUUUCCUGACAACAAAAUGCUCAUAAUAUUACUGUUAUUUGGUCACAAAAUGUAAUUGUAAGAGUUGUUCAGGCGUGAAUGUAUGUGCUUAAAGUUUAAAUAUGCGGUCGGUUAAUAAAGAUAGCGUCUAUUUAAAAAUGUGCUCGGACACUUUCGGACGUAGAUGAGCUCCAUAUGAGCUCCAGAAAAUCACAGACACUUAAGCGCUCACACCCCGCCCAGCGCAGCCUCUCCUCGGCAAGCCCGACUGCUGGCUCUGAUAUCUCUGUGGCGUUUAAACAUGUGAUUUAAUUCAUUUUGAUUUCUCAUACUUAACAAUGAAAGGGUUAUGUUUUAAAUCAUAUUUUAGGAUUGCACUUAAUUGAUAUUGCUGUUGAGUGAUGUUUCAUAUCUUUUACAUUUGUUAUAACCGGACUGCAUGCGAAUUUGAACUUCAGAUCUGAAGGAGCGAGUGGAGAAAUAGUCCCAAUAUCAUAACAAUCUUAAAUAAAACUUCUAAAUAUAACGUUACCCGUGUGUGUACCCGUGUGUGUACCCGUGUGCGCGCGCGCGUGCGCGCGACCCGCUUGCGCGCGACCCGUUUGCUCGCGCGUGUGUAUGUACAGUAUGUGCGUGAGUUUUUAAUUUAAAAUGUCUUAACUUAACUCGGAAGGAUCUGAAUCACAGGUCAUUUCAUCUGAGAUCAUUCCGCAUGUAACAGCCGGAAUCACUCACUGUUUCCCACAACGACACGAGUCAUCAGCCGUUUCCUCAAGGUCACGUCAGAGUGGUGAUGAGGAGAGGCAGAGACCACCACCAUACGCGAAGAUGAGCCUCGAGGCGUGACAGUUAUUUUUUCAAACUGAGGAGUUCGGACUCCGGACCGUCAUUUCUGCUUGUUUGUACCCUGAGAUAACCAUGGUUAAUAAAUGGUCAGACACGUCACUGGCUUUAAAAUAUAAACCCCAUUGAUGCAAAAAGAUGCUGCAUGGAAUGACAAUGUGGUUUGGAACAGACUUGGUGAAGAACAUGGAAACAUCUCUAAAUAAAAUGGCCCCAAACAUCAUCAGGAGUGCAAAAGAAGGAAGUAAAAACAUCUCUACGCCAAUCUCAUUGGAGAGGAAACCACAGAAGGUCUGGUGAGGAAUGCUGCACUUAUGUUAUUGCAAGCAUUAUUUCAAGAAAAUCCCAGCUUCCUUUACUGUGUAAAUAGUGAACCCAAAGGUCCCACACCAACCAUAGUGUUCAACGGCUCUCCUGAUCUGUUCAAAUCUGAAUGUAUCAACUUUAUAAUGGACAAUGUGAACUUAAUAUGUGGAAGACAUUGACAUCACAGGCUGUGGAAUGACUUUGUCACAGGUCGGAGAAGCGGACCGCCCCUGUCGCGGAUCACGCUCCUCCUAGUUCCACCUCGAGGAGGUCCCAAAGCACCCCAAUGACCAGACAAACCAGAGGGGGAGUAUUACGGGGCCAGGGACGUUGGAGGGGUUUCCAUGUGACUCCAGCUGGAACACCGCUACAGAGCGUAUCUGGGUGGGUUGGGCACACACCGUCGCGGCGGCCCCUGAUGGCAUCCACAAGGGUCCAAGACCCUCCUAAGCUCCUAGCCGUAGCAGAACUACGUAUUUCAGCACCCGAAGGACUAACAACCCAGCCGGCAUCUGCAGCGUAUAUUCAACGCGAUCAAACUUCACUCUGACAAGUAACUUCCUAUACACAACCACGCCGUCCUUUCGCCCGGACCAGCCCCGCACUCUUUCCGCCCGCUACCUAGCAGUCGCCGGAUCAGCAGAGCCUGCGGACUCUUCGGAGGCUGGUCUUCGUUGUGCUGCCCAAGGCGGAAGUUGACUCGCCCGAAAAUCGACCCUUUCAGUAACUUCUACCUUCUCUCUUUAUAUCCUCCUCCCAGGCGUGGCGAGCCUGGGAGGAGGAUAUAACAGCUGUGCCUUGUUUCAGCGAGUGCGGGGAUUCCCGGGGAACCCUGAAGUGCCGGUGUCUGUACAAACCGGUCCGGGCGGAACCUCUUCACUCUCCUUUUGGUUCCGCCCCGCAUAGUCACUCCGUGACAACUGUUUGCGUUUUUUUUUCUCCUCAAUGUUCAAUACCCUUUUGCCAUUAAGCACACAGUGACUUUAAUUUAUAAAAUAUAUGCUUAAGUUUUAAUACCUGUACAAAACAAAUGUACAAUCAACUUGUGUAAAUUGUCAUUCUAUUUAAUAGAUUGUUCAUGAAUUGUCUUUAAAUGCAUUGUGAUUUCGGUAACACUUUACAAUAAAGUUCAUUAGUUAACAUUAGUUAAUGUAUUAACUAACUUGAACAAACCAUAAGCAAUACAUUUGUUACAGUAUUUAUUCAUCUUUGUUAAUGUUAGUUAAUAAAAAUUUAAGCUUUAAUUGCUUGUUCAUGUUAGUUCAGAGUGCAUUAACUAAUGUUAACAAGAUUUUAAUAAAGUAAUUGUUGAAAUUAACAUUAACAAAGAUUAAUAAAGGCUGUAUAAGUGCAGUUCAUUAUUAGUUCAUGUUAACUAAUGUAGCUAACUAAUGUUAACUAAUGAACCUUAUUGUAAAGUGUUACCGUGAUUUCUUUUCAUCAUUUCAGACACAUGUAAAAGUUACUAAAAAUUAAUACUGCAUAUACUGUACAGUAUCUAUGCGUAAGGGAAAUAACUUAAACAAAAUUUUUAAUGUAUAGUGUAAUUAAGAGUUUAGCUGUUUAAUACAGAGAUGCAAUUUAUUUAUAUAUAUUAUUUAUAUAUAAACGUAUGUAUGUUUAUUAAAAAGUGAAAAUGCUUAAUGGAAAUAAUUAAAUAACUAAAUGGUUGAA
Molecule: non-coding RNA, 3316 nt
Organism: Misgurnus anguillicaudatus (oriental weatherfish)
Lineage: Eukaryota; Metazoa; Chordata; Actinopteri; Cypriniformes; Cobitidae
Source: RefSeq, a predicted model, not a curated record